GGCAGUUCCCGGGUGACGCACCCCGGAAUUGGGCUCCCUCCUCUUUGGUUCCAGGUGUGUCAUCCAAGAACUGCA
Molecule: non-coding RNA, 75 nt
Organism: Myotis lucifugus (little brown bat)
Lineage: Eukaryota; Metazoa; Chordata; Mammalia; Chiroptera; Vespertilionidae
Source: Rfam